This 9841-nucleotide long non-coding RNA is filed under the name Citrus x clementina. RNAcentral describes it as "Citrus clementina (C. clementina) long non-coding RNA (CCLE_LNC004781)". The record is from RNAcentral. Lineage: Eukaryota; Viridiplantae; Streptophyta; Magnoliopsida; Sapindales; Rutaceae.
GCCGCGGGCAAAUCCGCGCCCAAAAAUAACCGCCCGAAGGCCGGGGCGCCAAGUUCGUCCUGCGGAAAACGGCCACAAAAACGGGUGGGCUAUAGCCUUGGGGGGUGGGGCUGGCCCACUUCGUCCGCCGGACUCGGAAUGCCGCGAGACUUUGUGAGGGGCCUCCGUCCGCCAAAAAUAGGCCGCGGGCAAAGCCACGCCCAAAAAUAACAGCCCGAAGGCCGGGGCGCCAAGUUCGUCCAGUGGAAAAAGGCCACAAAAACGGGUGGGCUAUAGCCUUGGGGGGUGAUGCUGGCCCACUUCGUCCGCCGGACUCGGAAUGCCGCGAGACUUUGCAAGGGGCCUCCGUGUGCCAAAAAUAGGCCGCGGGCAAAGCCACGCCCAAAAAUAACCGCCCGAAGGCCGGGGCGCCAAGUUCGUCCAGUGGAAAAAGGCCACAAAAACGGGUGUGCUAUAGCCUUGGGGGGUGGGGCUAGCCAACUUCGUCCGCGGGACUCGGAAUGCCGCGAGACUUUGCGAGGGGCCUCCGUGUACCAAAAAUAGGCCGCGGGCAAAGCCGCGCCCAAAAAUAACCGCCCGAAGGCCGGGGCGCCAUGUUCGUCCAGCGGAAAAAGGCCACAAAAACGGGUGGGCUAUAGCCUUGGGGGGUGAUGCUGGCCCGCUUCGUCCGCCGGACUCGGAAUACCGCGAGACUUUGCCAGGGGCCUCCGUGUGCCAAAAAUAGGCCGUGGGCUAUGCCGCACCCAAAAAUAACCGCCCGACGGACGGGGCGCCAAGUUCGUCCGGAGGAAAAAAGCCACAAAAACGGGUGGGCUNNNNNNNNNNNNNNNNNNNNNNNNNNNNNNNNNNNNNNNNNNNNNNNNNNNNNNNNNNNNNNNNNNNNNNNNNNNNNNNNNNNNNNNNNNNNNNNNNNNNUUCGCCCGCCGGACUCGGAAUGCCGCGAGACUUUUUGAGGGGACUCCGUGUGCCAAAAAUAGGCCGCGGGCAAAUCCGCGCCCAAAAAUAACCGCCCGAAGGCCGGGGCGCCAAGUUCGUCCUGCGGAAAACGGCCACAAAAACGGGUGGGCUAUAGCCUUGGGGGGUGGGGCUGGCCAACUUCGUCCGCCGGACUCGGAAUGCCGCGAGACUUUGCAAGGGGCCUCCGUGUCCCAAAAAUAGGCCGCGGGCAAAGCCGCGCCCAAAAUUAACUGCCCGAAGACCGGGGCGCCAAGUUCGUCCAGCGGAAAAAGGCCACAAAAACGGGUGGGCUAUAGCCUUGGGGGGUGGGGCUGGCCAACUUCGUCCGCCGGACUCGGAAUGCCGCGAGACUUUGUGAGGGGCCUCCGUGAGCCAAAAAUAGGCAGCGGGCAAAGCCACGCCUAAAAAUAANNNNNNNNNNNNNNNNNNNNNNNNNNNNNNNNNNNNNNNNNNNNNNNNNNNNNNNNNNNNNNNNNNNNNNNNNNNNNNNNNNNNNNNNNNNNNNNNNNNNCCAAGUUCGUCCAGCGGAAAAAGGCCACAAAAACGGGUGGGCUAUAGCCUUGCGGGGUGGGCCUGGCCCACUUCGUCCGCCGGACUCGGAAUGCCACGAGACUUUGCGAGGGCCCGGCGUGUGCCAAAAAUGAGGCCGCGGGCAAAGCCGCGCCCAAAAAUAACCGCCCGAAGGCCGGGGCGCCACGUUUGUCCAGCGGAAAAAGGCCACAAAAACGGGUGGGCUAUAGCCCUGGGGGGUGAUGCUGGCCCACUUCGUCCGCCGGACUCGGAAUGCCGCGAGACUUUGCAAGGGGCCUCCGUGUGCCAAAAAUAGGCCACGGACAAUGCCGCGCCCAAAAAUAACCGCCCGACGGACGGGGCGCCAAGUUCGUCCAGCGGAAAAAAGCCACAAAAACGGGUGGGCUAUAGCCUUGGGGGGUGAUGCUGGCCAACUUCGUCCGCCGGACUCGGAAUGCCGCGAGACUUUUCGAGGGGACUCCGUGUGCCAAAAAUAGGCCGCGGGCAAAUCUGAACCCAAAACUAACCGCCCGAAGGCCGGGACGCCAAGUUCGUCCUGCGGAAAAAGGCCACAAAAACGGGUGGGCUAUAGCCUUGGGGGGGCUGGCCAACUUCCUCCGCCCGACUUGCAAUGACUCGAGAAUUUGUGAGGGGCCUCCGUCCGCCAAAAAUAGGCCGCGGGCAAAGCUACGCCCAAAAAUAACAGCCCGAAGGCUGGGGCGCCAUGUUCGUCCAGCGGAAAAAGGCCACAAAAACGGGUGGGCUAUAGCCUUGGUGGGUGGGCCUGGCCAACUUCGUCCGCCGGACUCGGAAUGCCGCGAGACUUUGCGAGGGGCCGGCGUGUGCCAAAAAUAGGCCGCGGGCAAAGCCGCGCCCAAAACUAACCGCCGGAAGGCCGGGGCGCCAAGUUCGCCCAGCGGAAAAAGGCCACAAAAACGGGUGGGCUAUAGCCUUGGGGGGUGGGGCUGGCCAACUUCGUCCAUCGGACUUGGAAUGCCGCGAGACUUUGCAAGGGGCCUCCGUGGGCCAAAAAUAGGCCGUCGGCAAAUCCGCGCCCAAAAAUAACCGCCCGAAGGCCGAGGCGCCAAGUUCGUCCUGCGGAAAAAGGCCACAAAAACGGGUGGGCUAUAGCCUUGGGGGGUGGGGCUUCCCCACUUCGUCCGCCGGACUCGGAAUGCCACGAGACUUUGCGAGGGCCUCCAUGUGCCAAAAAUAGGCCGUGGGCAAAGCCGCACCCAAAAAUAACCGCCCGAAGGCCGGGGCGCCAACUUCGUCCAGCGGAAAAAGGCCAGAAAAACGGGUGGUCUAUAGCCUUGGGAGGUGGGGCUGGCCAACUUCGUCCGCCGGACUCGGAAUGCCCCGAGACUUUGCGAGGAGCCUCCGUGUGCCAAAAAUAGGCUGCGGGCAAAGCCGCGCCCAAAAAUAACCCCCCGAAGGCCGGGGCGCCAAGUUCGUCCAGCGGAAAAAGGCCACAAAAACGGGUGGGCUAUAGCCUUGGGGGGUGGGGCUGGCCAACUUCGUCCGCCGGAGUCGGAAUGCCGCGAGACUUUACGAGGGGCCUCCGUGUGCCAAAAAUAGGCCGCGGGCAAAGCCGCGCUGAAAAAUAAUCGCCUGACGGCCGGGGCGCCAACUUCGUCCAGCGGAAAAAGGCCACAAAAACGGGUGGGCUAUAGCCUUGGGGGGUGGGGCAGGCCAACUUCGUCCGCCGGACUAUGAAUGCCGCGAGCCUUUGCGAGGGGCUGUCGUGUGCCAAAAAUAGGCCGCCGGCAAAGCCGCGCCCAAAAAUAACCGCCCGAAGGCCGGGUCGCCAAGUUCGUCCAGCGGAAAAAGGCCACAAAAACGGGUGGGCUAUAGCCUUGGGGGGUGGGGCAGGCCAACUUCGUCCGCCGGACUCAGAAUGGCGCAAGACUUUGCGAGGGGCCUCCAUGUGCCAAAAAUAGGCCGCAGUAAAUGCCGCGCCCAAAAAUAACCGCCCGAAGGCCGUGGCGCCAAGUUCGUCCAGCGGAAAAAGGCCACAAAAACGGGUGGGCUAUAGCCUUGGGGGGUGGGGCUGCCCAACUUCGUCCUCCGGACUCGGAUUGCCGUGAGACUUUGCGAGGGGCUUCCGUGUACCAAAAAUAGGCCGCGGGCAAAGCCGCGCCCAAAAAUAACCGCCCGAAGGCCGGGGUUUCAAGUUCGUCCAGUGGAAAAAGGCCACAAAAACGGGUGGGCUAUAGCUUUGGUGGGUGGGGCUGGCCAACAUCGUCCAUUGGACUCGGAAUGCCGCGAGACUUUGCGAGGGGCCUUCUUGGGCCAAAAAUAGGUCGCGGGCAAAGCUACGCCCAAAAAUAACCACCCGAAGGCCGGGGCGCCAAGUUCGUCCAGCGGAAAAAGGCCACAAAAACGGGUGGGCUAUAGCCUUGGGGGGUGGGGCUGGCCAACUUCGUCCGCCGGACUCGGAAUGCCGCGAGACUUUGCAAGGGGCCUCCGUGUGCCAAAAAUAAGCCGCGGGUAAAGCCGCACCCAAAUAUAACCUCCCGAAGGCCGGGGCGCCAAGUUCGUCCAGCGGAAAAAGGCCACAAAAAUGGGUGGGCUAUAGCCUUGGGGGGUGGGGCUGGCCACCUUCGUCCGCCGGACUCGGAAUGCCGCGAGACUUUUCGAGGGGCCUCCGUGUGCCAAAAUUGGCCGCGGGCAAAGCCGCGUCCAAAAAUAACCGCCCGAAGGCCGGGGCGCCAAGUUCGUCCAGCGGAAAAAGGCCACAAAAAUGGGUGGGCUAUAGCCUUGGGGGGUGGGGCUGGCCACCUUCGUCCGCCGGACUCGGAAUGCCGUGAGACUAUGCGAGGGGCCUCCGUGUGCCAAAAAUAGGCCUCGUUCAAAGCCGCGCCCAAAAAUAACCGCCCGAAGGCCGGGGCGCCAAGUUCGUCCAGCGGAAAAAGGCCACAAAAACGGGUGGGCUAUAGCUUUGGGGGGUGGGGCUGGCCAACUUCAUCCAUCGGACUCGGAAUGCCGCGAGACUUCGCGAGGGGCCUCCGUGUGCCAAAAAUAGGCCGCGGGCAAAGCCACCCCCAAAAAUAACUGCCCGAAGGCCGGGGCGCCAAGUUCGUCCAGCGGAAAAAGGCCACAAAAACGGGUGGGCUAUAGCCUUGGGGGGUGGGGCUGGCCAACUUCGUCCGCCGGACUCGGAAUGCCGCGAGACUUUGCAAGGGGCCUCCGUGUCGCAAAAGUAGGCCGCGGGCAAAGCCGCGCCCAAAAUUAACUGCCCGAAGACCGGGGCGCCAAGUUCGUCCAGCGGAAAAAGGCCACAAAAACGGGUGGGCUAUAGCCUUGCGGGGUGGGGCUGCCCAACUUCGUCCGCCGGAUUCGGAAUGCCGCGAGACUUUGCGAGGGGCCUCCGUGUGCCAAAAAUAGACCACAGGCAAAGCCGCGCCCAAAAAUAAUCGCCCGAUGGCCGGGGCGCCAAUUAGUCCAGCGGAAAAAGGCCACAAAAACGGGUGGGCUAUAGCCUUGGGGGGUGGGGCUGGCCCACUUCGUCCGCCGGACUCGGAAUGCCGCAAGACUUUGCGAGGGGCCUCCGUGUGCCAAAAAUAGGCCGCGGGCAAAGCCGCACCCAAAAUUAACCGCCCGAAGGCCAGGGCGCCAAGUUCGUCCAGCGGAAAAAUGCCACAAAAACGGGUGGGCUAUAUCCUUGGGGGGUGAUGCUGGCCAACUUUGUCCGCUGGACUCGGAAUGCCGCGAGACUUUGCGAGGGGCCUCCAUGUGCCAAAAAUAGGCCGCGGACAAAGCCGCGCCCAAAAUUAACCGCCCGAAGGCCGGGGCGCCAAGUUCGUCCAGCGGAAAAAGGCCACAAAAACGGGUGGGCUAUAGGCUUGGGGGGUGGGGCUGGCCGAUUUCGUCCGCCGGACUCGGAAUGCCGCGAGACUUUGCGAGGGGCCUCCGUGUGCAAAAAAUAGGCCGCAGGCAAAGCCGCGCCCAAAAAUAACCGCCCGACAGCCGGGGCGCCAAGUUCGUCCUCCGGAAUAAGUCCAUAAAAACGGGUGGGCUAUAGCCUUGGGGGGUGGGGCUGGCCAACUUCGUCUGCCGGACUCGGAAUGCCGCGAGACUUUGCGAGGGGUCUCCAUGUGCAAAAAAUAGGCCGCGGGCAAAGCCGAGCCAAAAAUUAACCACCCGAAGGCCGGGGCGCCAAGUUCUCCCAGCGGAAAAAGGCCACAAAAACGGGUGGGCUAUAGCCUUGGGGGGUGGGGCUGGCCAACUUCGUCAGCCGGACUCGGAAUGCCACGAGACUUUGCGAGGGGCCUCCGUGUGCCAAAAAUAGGCCGUGGGCAAAGCCGCGCCCAAAAAUAACCGCCCGACGGCCGGAGCGCCCAGUUCGUCCAGCGGAAAAAGGCCACAAAAACGGGUGGGCUAUAGCCUUGGGGGGUGGGGCUGGCCAACUUCGUCCGCCGGACUCGGAAUGCCGCGAGACUUUGCGAGGGGCCUCCGUGUGCCAAAAAUAGGCCGUGGGGAUGUUUAAAAAGGUUCGUGGUUCAAAAUUUUAUGUUAUCUAGUGAUAAAAUUUUGUAGUGCAUUUUAUAGAUAGGUAGCAGCAGCAAGUUCCGGGGCGCCAAGUUCGUCCAGCGGAAAAACGCCAAAAAAAUGGGUGGGGUAUAGCCUUGGAGGUGAUGCUGGCCCACUUCGUCCGCCGGACUCGGAAUGCCGCGAGACUUUGCGAGGGGCCCCCGUGUGCCAAAAAUAGGCCGCGGGCAAAGCCGCGCCCAAAAUUAACCGCCCGAAGGCCGGGGCGCCAAGUUCAUCCAGCGGAAAAAGGCCACAAAAACGGGUGGGCUAUAGCCUUGGGGGGUGGGGCUGGCCAACUUCGUCCGCCGGACUCGGAAUGCCUCGAGACUUUGCGAGGGGCCUCCGUGUGCCAAAAAUAGGCCGCGGGAAAAGCCACGCCCAAAAAUAACCGCCCGACGGCCGGGGCGCCAAGUUCGUCCAGCGGUAAAAGGCCACAAAAACGGUUGGGCUAUAGCCUUGGGGGGUGGGGCUGGCCGACUUCGUCCGCCAGACUCGGAAUGCCGCGAGACUUUGCGAGGGGCCUCUGUGUGCCAAAAAUAGGCCGCGGACAAAGUAGCGACCAAAAAUAACUGCCCGAAGGCCGGGGCGCCAUGUUCGUCCAGCGGAAAAAGGCCACAAAAACGGGUGGGCUAUAGUCUUGGGGGGUGGGCCUGGCCAACUUCGUCCGCCGGACUCGGAAUGCCGCGAGACUUUGCGAGGGGGCUCCAUGUGCAAAAAAUAGGCCGAGGGCAAAGCCGCGCCCAAAAUUGACCGCCCGAAGGCCGGGGCGCCAAGUUCAUCCAGCGGAAAAACACCACAAAAACGGGUGGGCUAUAGCCUUGGGGGGUGGGGCUGGCCAACUUCGUCCGCCGGACUCGGAAUGCCUCGAGACUUUGCGAGGGGCCUACGUGUGCCAAAAAUAGGCCGCAGGAAAAGUCACGCUCAAAAAUAACCACCCGACGGCCGGGGCGCCAAGUUCGUCCAGCGGAAAAAGGCCCCAAAAACGGGUGGGCUAUAGCCUUGGGGUGUGGGGCUGGCCAACUUCGUCCGCCGGACUCGGAAUGCCGCGAGACUUUGCAAGGGGCCUCCAUGUGCCAAAAAUAGGCCGCGGCCAAAGCCGCACCAAAAAUUAACCGCCCGAAGGCCGGGGCGCGUAGUUCAUCCGCCGGAAAAAGGCCACAAAAACGGGUGGGCUAUAGCCUUGGGGGGUGGGGCUGGCCAACUUCGUCCGCCGGACUCGGAAUGCCGUGAGACUUUGCGAGGGGCCUCCGUGUGCCAAAAAUAGGCCGCUGGCAAAGCCGUGCCCAAAAUUAACCGCCCGAAGGCCGGGGCGCCAAGUUCGUCCACCGGAAAAAGGCCACAAAAACGGGUGGGCUAUAGCCUUGGGGGGUGGGGCUGGCCAACUUCGUCCGCCGGACUCGGAAUGCCUCGAAACUUUGUGAGGGUCCUCUGUGAGCCAAAAAUAGGCCGCGGGAAAAGCCAUACCCAAAAAUAACCGCACGACGGCCGGGGCGCCAAGUUCGUCCCACGGAAAAAGGCCACAAAAACGGGUGGGCUAUAGCCUUGGGGGGUGGGGCUGGCCAACUUCGUCCGCCGGACUCGGAAUGCCGCGAGACUUUGCGAGGGGCCUCCAUGUGCCAAAAAUAGGCCGCGGGCAAAGCCGCGCCCAAAAUUAACCGCCCGAAGGCCGGGGCGCCAAGUUCAUCCACCGGAAAAAGGCCACAAAAACGGGUGGGCUAUAGCCUUGGGGGGUGGGGCUGGCCAACUUCGUCCGCCGGACUCGGAAUGCCUCGAGACGUUGCGAGGGUCCUCCGUGUGCCAAAAAUAGGCCGCGGGAAAAGCCACACCCAAAAAUAACCGCCCGACGGCCGGGGCGCCAAGUUCGUCCCGCGGAAAAAGGCCACAAAAACGGGUGGGCUAUAGCCUUGGGGGGUGGGGCUGGCCAACUUCGUCCGCCGGACUCGGAAUGCCGCGAGACUUUGCGAGGGGCCUCCAUGUGCCAAAAAUAGGCCGCGGGCAAAGCCGCGCCCAAAAUUAACAGCCCGAAGGCUGGGGCGCCUAGUUCAUCCACCGGAAAAAGGCCACAAAAACGGGUGGGCUAUAGCCUUGGGGGGUGGGGCUGGCCAACUUCGUCCGCCGGACUCGGAAUGCCGUGAGACUUUGUGAGGGGCCUCCGUGUACCAAAAAUAGGCCGCGGGCAAAGCCGCGCCCAAAAUUAACCGCCAGAAGACCGGGGCGCCAAGUUCGUCCACCGGAAAAAGGCCACAAAAACGGGUGGGCUAUAGCCUUCGGGGGUGGGGCUGGCCAACUUCGUCCGCCGGACUCGGAAUGCCGCGAGAUUUUGCGAGGGGCCUCCGUGUGCAAAAACUAGGCCGCGGGCAAAGCCUCGCCCAAAAAUAACCGCCCGAAGGCCGGGGCGCCAAGUUCAUCAAGCGGAAAAAGGCCACAAAAACGGGUGGGCUAUAGCCUUGGGGGGUGGGGCUGGCCAACUUCGUCCGCCGGACUCGGAAUGCCGUGAGACUUUGCGAGGGGCCUCCGUGUACCAAAAAUAGGCCGCGGGAAAAGCCGCGCCCAAAAAUAACCGCCCGACGGCCGGGGCGCCAAGUUCCUCCAGCGGAAAAAUGCCACAAAAAUGGGUGGGCUAUAGCCUUCGGGGGUGGGGCUGGCCAACUUCGUCCGCCGGACUCGGAAUGCCGCGAGACUUUGCGAGGGGCCUCCGUGUGCCAAAAAUAGGCCGCGGGAAAAGCCGUACCCAAAAAUAACCGCCCGACGGCCAGGGCGCCAAGUUCGUCCAGCAGAAAAAGGCCACAAAAACGGGUGGGCUAUAGCCUUGGGGGGUGGGGCUGGCCAACUUCGUCCGCCGGACUCGGAAUGCCGCGAGACUUUGCGAGGGGCCUCCGUGUGCCAAAAAUAGGCCGCGGGAAAAGCCGCGCCCAAAAAUAACCGCCCGAAGGCCGGGGCGCCUAGUUCAUCCACCGGAAAAAGGCCACAAAAACAGGUGGGCUAUAGCCUUGGGGGGUGGGGCUGGGCAACUUCGUCCGCCGGACUCGGAAUGCCUUGAGACUUUGCGAGGGGCCUCCGUGUGCCAAAAAUAGGCUACGGGCAAAGCCGCACCCAAAAUUAACCGCCCGAAGGCCGGGGCGCCAAGUUCAUCCACCGGAAAAAGAACACAAAAACGGGUGGGCUAUAGCCUUGGGGGGUGGGGCUGGCCAACUUCGUCCGCCGGACUCGGAAUGCCGCGAGAUUUUGGGAGGGGCCUCUCUGUGCCAAAAAUAGGCCGCGGACAAAGCCGCGCCCAAAAUUAACCGCCCGAAGGCCGGGGCGCCAACUUCGUCCUGCGGAAAAAGGCCACAAAAACGGGUGGGCAAUAGCCUUGGGGGGUGAUGCUGGCCAACUUCGUCCGCCGGACUGGGAAUGCCGCGAGACUUUGCGAGGGGCCUCCGUGUGCCAAAAAUAGGCCACGGGAAAAGCCGCGCCCAAAAAUAACUGCCCGACGGCCGGGGCGCCAAGUUCGUCCAGCGGAAAAAGGCCACAAAAACGGGUGGGCUAUAGCCUUGGGGUGUGGGGCUGGCCAACUUCGUCCGCCGGACUCGGAAUGCCGCGAGACUUUGCGAGGGGCCCCUGUGUGCCAAAAAUAGGGCACGGACAAAGCCGCGCCCAAUUUUAACCGCCCGAAGGCCGGGGCGCCAAGUUCGUCCAGCGGUAAAAGGCCACAAAAACGGUUGGGCUAUAGCCUUGGGGGGUGGGGCUGGCCACCUUCGUCCGCCAGACUUUGGGAGGGGCCUCCGUGUGCCAAAAAUAGGCCGCGGGCAAAGCCGCGCCCAAAAUUAACCGCCCGAAGGCCGGGGCGCCAAGUUCGUCC